Molecule: ribosomal RNA, 253 nt
Filed under: uncultured bacterium
Lineage: Bacteria
Description: partial 16S ribosomal RNA
Rfam family: Bacterial small subunit ribosomal RNA
Source: RNAcentral
GACAGAGGUGCCAAGCGUUAGGCGGAAUCACUGGGCUUAAAGCGUGUGUAGGCGGACCCGUAAGUACCUUGUGAAAUCCCUCAGCUUAACUGGGGAACUGCGUCUGAGACUGGCCGGCUUGAGUGCAGGAGAGGAACGCGGAAUUCCAGGUGUAGCGGUGAAAUGCGCAGAUAUCAGGAAGAACACCCGUGGCUAAGGCGGUUCUCUAGUACGGUACUGACGCUGAGACGCGAAAGCGUGGGGAGCGAACAGG